UGUAUGGAGAAGUGAAGUCAUCUCUCAUUUCAUUUUUGAGACCGGAGCAACAUGUGAAUGCUCCACCUCUGAUAGCAGAUCUCAGUCAGCCUUUAUGCUGGAAUUGUAAACUUAAGAUGAAAACAUUUGUGAGUUUAUUUGUCACUGUUGCACAGAUCUUGGCUUAAGGAUGUCUCCAGCUUUAUACACAUUGGGAUUUUUACUGCUUUUGCUUACAAGAAAAGUGGAGAGCGUUUCCUUUGAGCAGUCCUCUUCUCAGGUUGUGAAGGCCGGUACUGAAGAGCUCAGGAUCAGCUGCAGUCAUGAUGACAGCAACCUCCAGGUGAUGUUGUGGUACCAACACAGAGAGAGCGGUCGGUCCAUGAGCCUCAUCGGCUACACGGUCCUCAAGGGGGAACCGAGCUACGAGGAGCAGUUCAAAGACUCCCGGUUCCAGAUAAAGGCUGAAGACACAAGGAAAGGAUCUCUGAUCAUUCGCUCAGUGAACUCAUCAGACUCAGCGGUGUAUUUCUGCGCUGCCAGCACACAGUGAUGUGGUUCAAUGCCACUGCUUCACUCAAAACCUGCUGCGACUCAUAGCAGCUGCUGAACAGGAGUUUAUUUGGAAAAUAUGAUGCU
Molecule: non-coding RNA, 618 nt
Organism: Anoplopoma fimbria (sablefish)
Lineage: Eukaryota; Metazoa; Chordata; Actinopteri; Perciformes; Anoplopomatidae
Source: the annotation of a RefSeq genome assembly